RNAcentral lists this ribosomal RNA (408 nucleotides) under uncultured bacterium. Its description in RNAcentral is "partial 16S ribosomal RNA". It matches the Rfam family "Bacterial small subunit ribosomal RNA", at positions 29 to 526 of the family's 1533-position model. The record is from RNAcentral.
AGUGAACGCUGGCGGCGUGCCUAAUACAUGCAAGUCGAACGGAGUGGAGCACGGGUGAGUAAUGUAUAGCUAAUCUGCCCUACACUAGAGGACAACAGUUUGAAACGGCUGCUAAUACUCUAUAGUGUAGGAUGAGGCUAUAUUGUAUCAGCUAGUUGGUGAGGUAAUGGCCCACAAAGGCUAUGACGCAUAACUGGUCUGAGAGGAUGAUCAGUCAAACUGGAACUGAGACACGGUCAAGACUCCGACGGGAGGCAGCAGGAGGGAAUAGUGCUCAAUGGGGGAAACCCUGAAGCAGCAACGCCGCGUGGAGGAUGACACUUUGCGGAGCGGAAACUCCUUUUGUUAGGGAAGCGGUACCUAACGAAUAAGCACCGGCUAACUCCGUGCCAGCAGCCGCGGUAAUUC